Molecule: non-coding RNA, 70 nt
Organism: Podarcis lilfordi (Lilford's wall lizard)
Lineage: Eukaryota; Metazoa; Chordata; Lepidosauria; Squamata; Lacertidae
Source: the annotation of a GenBank genome assembly
GACCAUAGCUCACUGGAAAAGCAUCUGCUUUGCAUGCAGAAAGUCUCAGGUUCAAUUCCUGGCAACUCCA